GAUGAACGCUGGCGGCGUGCCUAAUACAUGCAAGUCGAGCGAACAGACGAGGAGCUUGCUCCUCUGACGUUAGCGGCGGACGGGUGAGUAACACGUGGAUAACCUACCUAUAAGACUGGGAUAACUUCGGGAAACCGGAGCUAAUACCGGAUAACAUGUUGAACCGCAUGGUUCAACAGUGAAAGACGGUCUUGCUGUCACUUAUAGAUGGAUCCGCGCCGCAUUAGCUAGUUGGUAAGGUAACGGCUUACCAAGGCAACGAUGCGUAGCCGACCUGAGAGGGUGAUCGGCCACACUGGAACUGAGACACGGUCCAGACUCCUACGGGAGGCAGCAGUAGGGAAUCUUCCGCAAUGGGCGAAAGCCUGACGGAGCAACGCCGCGUGAGUGAAGAAGGUCUUCGGGUCGUAAAACUCUGUUAUUAGGGAAGAACAAAUGUGUAAGUAAUUAUGCACGUCUUGACGGUACCUAAUCAGAAAGCCACGGCUAACUACGUG
This 497-nucleotide ribosomal RNA is filed under the name uncultured bacterium. RNAcentral's name for it is "partial 16S ribosomal RNA". It matches the Rfam family "Bacterial small subunit ribosomal RNA", at positions 28 to 507 of the family's 1533-position model. The record is from RNAcentral.